RNAcentral lists this transfer RNA (71 nucleotides) under Mycobacterium phage Wildcat. It matches the Rfam family "tRNA". Rfam says of the family: Transfer RNA (tRNA) molecules are approximately 80 nucleotides in length. Their secondary structure includes four short double-helical elements and three loops (D, anti-codon, and T loops). Lineage: Duplodnaviria; Heunggongvirae; Uroviricota; Caudoviricetes; Vilmaviridae. The record is from Rfam by way of RNAcentral.
GCCCGCUUAGCUCAAUGGGAGAGCCACCGGCCUACACCCGGUAGACGAGAGUUCAAUUCUUUCAGCGGGUA